This 242-nucleotide ribosomal RNA is filed under the name uncultured bacterium. RNAcentral's name for it is "partial 16S ribosomal RNA". It matches the Rfam family "Bacterial small subunit ribosomal RNA", at positions 15 to 254 of the family's 1533-position model. The record is from RNAcentral.
GAUCAUGCUCAGAUUGAACGCUGGCGGCAGGCUUAACACAUGCAAGUCGAACGGUAACAUAAAGAAGCUUGCUUCUUUGAUGACGAGUGGCGGACGGGUGAGUAAUGCUUGGGAAUCUAGCUUAUGGAGGGGGAUAACUACGGGAAACUGUAGCUAAUACCGCGUAGUAUCGGAAGAUGAAAGUGUGGGACCUUCGGGCCACAUGCCAUAGGAUGAGCCCAAGUGGGAUUAGGUAGUUGGUG